This is a non-coding RNA of Podarcis muralis (Common wall lizard), 3263 nucleotides long. The record is from RefSeq and is a predicted model, not a curated record. Lineage: Eukaryota; Metazoa; Chordata; Lepidosauria; Squamata; Lacertidae.
UACAUAAGGACUCUAUACGGGCUCUUGGAUACCUCAUAAGGGAAAAGGGAGCAGUUUUUUCUUAUAACAGUGACUUACUACAUACAACUGAUGAGGUGGACUCUAGUCUAAGCAUGGAAUUUGGUAUUUGGUACGUUGAUUGACAGUACUGUUCUGCAAGAUCACUCCUCUGGAUGUAAACCUGCACAUCUAAAAAGAUUCUGCUCCUACACCACAAAAACAUUGGAGAACGGAUGGUGGAGAAUAACGUACCACCAUAUGGGGUUAAUCUGGAAGCCUAGCAAAUGCUGAGAGUUUCAGCUAUCAACGCAAUGAAACGCCAUUGUGGAAGUGAAAGAUGGCGCAUAUCUUGGCUUCAGGGGUUUUGUGACACUGAGUGGAGCAUAUGAUUGACAAGUGGAGACUGUAUCUUGGGAUAGCCAGCCUGGAGACAAGCAUUUUUGACGUGGUACAAGGAAGAAAGGCUGCUACUCAAGAGUAAGAUUCUCUUGAGAGCCUGGUUGAGUUUAUGGACUGUUUCGUCCAAGGAUAUUGGAUUGCUCCAAAAGGGAAUAUGCUAGUUUCCUGCAACUUAUGCAUUGCAUUAUCUGUCUUUUCCAUCUUGGUGAACUAUUUUCUUGUUUCCUAAACCUGGGGUUGCUUCUCUUUAUUUUAACACCUUCAUGCCUGGAAGCCAUAACCUAUUCUACCUUGCAAAGCUUCAGAGGAGCUCAGGAAGGCUGAUCGAUGAAGGGGAAGCCCCCUUUAUCCAGGGGCAGCAAAUUCUUUUAAAGAUGGGGCUGAGCAGAGAGGUACUCUGUGCUACCUGGGAACAGGCUUCCUCAAAUGGCAGCGGACCUAGUGGGGGCCGAGAGGUGGCUGCCAUUCAACCCAGACUUUGAGUGAAUGAGAAUCUUUUGGAAUCGUGUGCCAUACUCUUCCUUCCAAGAAAAAUCCAAGACAUGGAGUGAAAUGGUUUUGACCGCAUUCUCCCUUUCAGAACUUCAGGGGACCACCCCCUCCUCCUGCAUUAUGCUUAUAUUCCAAGCGGUGGCGAUAUAUCUCAAUCUGCCAGCGCACUCCACCACUGACCUACAUGUUGAAAUUCUUCUACAAAAGAGUUAUUCUUCUACACAGAGUGUAGCUUAGCUCAACAAGGCUAGGAGGCUGCUGUUGUGAAUUGACACAGUGUUUAUCUUGCAUACAUCUCACCUUUCGACGAAUUGCCUCCUUUCACCCUCCACAAUAUCUGAAACCCACUGCUUGCUGUUUUCUGCACCCUCAUGUGCUGUUGGUGUUGUUGAUUAUAGCCUCUUGAAACCUCUAGAUGGCACUGUAACUCUGCCUAAUGCAAAGGCACGGGAAGCAACAAUAUCAGUUUUAAAACGUUCCUUUCCCCCAGCGGAUAAAGAAAUCAAAGCCACUCAGUGAUAUGCUUCCAACUCCUGAUAUACUGUUCCGUAUUGGGCAAGUCCUGCAAUCAUUUGAUUUAUAUAUUAUUAAUAGGAUUUUGUGCCACGAUACUCAUGUAUGCUUGAUGCAGAAUUUGGAAGCAAUGCCUGAGCGAUGAAUAACGGCAUAAUUGUGUGAAUAAACAAGCAAUUCUCUUCAAGAAAGUGUGCAAAAACCGGCUAAUAUUUCGUUUUCAUCUUAAUAUCAAAAGUUGGUCUGUGUUGAGCAGCAGAAUUCAUAACCAUAUGUUCCAUUCAGGGUAUUGGGCGGGGCUGUCCCCUGGUGCUGAGUGCAGGGCAAAAGGACAUUCUUCAAAUUCUAGAGAACCUCUUAAUAUAAUGUUCCAUAUUUAUAAGCUAUCUGUCCGCACAGCAUGCUCACCUCCUGAAUUACUUUGCUUCCCCAAGUAGAAGAAGGGAAAGGAGUAGACUGUGAUUUAGAAACCUGUUAUCUUAUACAAGAGCGAGGCUCACCAGUGCAUCUUCCCUCAAGGAAUGGGAUUGCUGGCUGGGACUGAUGGGAUUCUUAGACCAAAACGCUGGGUUGGUUCUCAAUGACUAGGCUCGUUUAGAACAGGAAGCAGGAUUAAGCCCCACACCAAGAGUGUGGUCCAGUACUAAAAUGUAACCAAUCAUUCAUGGCGUGCUGCAGAUUGGCACUACACAGGCAAAACGUCUACAUUUUCAAAUUCCCACAUCCCCUUUCUGAAAAAGAACAGAGAGCAAUAUAAGCUUCCCAUCAGUCAUUUCACUCUUUGAUCGGAUGUUUACCAAAGCAAGUAAGCAGUACUGAUGAAAUAAUGCUCCUGCUGCGAUGUCAUCAGGAGUGUUUCUGUAACAGCCCCAUGGGAACAUAUAUUGCUAUCUAAUUAAGGCUUAUUUUUCAGCUAUCAGACAGACAAAUUUGUUUCUAAGUGCAGCUAGCUGCUGCUGAAUCGGAAGCCUGUGAGAUUUAAAAUGAAUUAUAUGCUACAGAGCGGGGAAGAGAUAAUAGGGAAGAUCCAGUCCAAUAUCACACAGACAUAGCUUGCUUAAACUGUGUCCAGAGAAACGCUGCAGUCGUAUGCAGAUUUACAUGGGAAAUAGUCCCAUCGGAUUCAGUGAGGCUUCUGAGCAGACAUGUAUAGACUUGCACUCAAAGUUGCAUGGCUGUUGGCAUCAGGGGACAUCUUCAUCAUAGCUAACUUGUCCCAUUCAUUUCAAUGGAAUUCAAGGUCCAGUCAUACUCUGGCUUGGGUCAUUUGUCUCUUGUAUGUGACCCUGAUGGCCACCUUUCUUGAAAAUGGGCAUCAUAUAUUCAUUCACUCAGAAGAACCAGAGUUUUGUGGAAAGUGCAUUUGCUUACUAUUUACUCAGCAAAGGAAAAGGACCUUCCGUUUUUGGUAUUUAUGUUUCCUUGUUGACAACAAAGGAAACUGCCUUAUACCAGGUCAUAUUAUUUGCACAUCUAGUAUAGUUGCUUCUUGAAUGGCAGUUUCCCAGGGUUUCCGACAGAGUGAUUUCCCCAAUCACUUACUACCUUACCCUUCUCACUUGGGUUGCAGGUCCAACCCCCUGCAAUACAGGAAUCAGAUCUGAAGAACCCCUGACAGAUGGCCACCCAAACUCUGUUUAGAAAUCUCCACUGAAAGUGAGUCCAUCACCUUCUACUGUAGUCCAUUCCACUGUCAGGCAGCUCUUACUGCCAGAAACUUCCUAUAAAAGUUUAAUCAGAAUCUACUUCCUUGGAAUUAUAAAUCCAUUGGUUCGUGUCCCAACCAUUAGAACAGCAGAAAACAAGUUUGUUCCACCAUCCACCAGCCCUUCAGAUAUUUGAAGAUGGCUAUCAUAUCA